Molecule: unclassified non-coding RNA, 403 nt
Filed under: Hevea brasiliensis (rubber tree)
Lineage: Eukaryota; Viridiplantae; Streptophyta; Magnoliopsida; Malpighiales; Euphorbiaceae
Source: RNAcentral
CUCGAGUCCCUCAAGGGUCAGCGGGAACAUGCGCUCCGAGAACAGACGGCGGAUUACGGUGGUGGAUUCCGAAUAAUCCCAAUGCUUGCGCGCGACGGGAUUGAGCCAGACCGCGUGCGGAUAGGUCCGCGUCACGCGCUCCAGCCACACCGAGCCCGGCUCCUCGUUGACGUGUUCAACCGAACCGCCCGGCACCACGAUCUCGUACGGCGACAUCGACGCGUCGCCGACGAACACAACCUUAUAGUCGUGCGGAUACUUGUGAAGAAUAUCCCAGGUCGGAGUACGAUCGGUGAAGCGGCGCUUGUUGCUCUUCCACACGCCUUCAUAGAGGCAGUUGUGGAAGUAGAAAUACUCCAUGUGCUUGAACUCGGUCUUCGCCGCCGAGAACAGUUCCUCGACC